AACGUUUUCUCUUUUUCUGGGUUUGGUGAGAGAGAAUUUGUAAAAGCCCUGGAAUGUUAAGUCAUGAGAAAAGGCCUAAGGUCUUUUAUCGAUAGACAACAAACGACCCAAAGAGAGAGAGAGAGUAAAGAAAAGAGAUGAUGAUGAUAAGGAAGAAAAUAGAUUCUCCGCAUGGUUUUUGGCUUUAAAGAUUAACCCGGUUAACCUUAGACUGACCAUCACCACCAUCAUCAUUAUUUUCCAUUGAUUAUGACCAUUGAUAUGGAUCUUUUUUCGUUUUCUCUCUCUCUCUCUCUCGUCAUGUAAUCUAUGUAGAUGUUUGACCGGUGGACUUGUUCAUCUUUUCAUUGUACAGGUGAAUUAAAGGGUGAAGGUUGUGGAGAGAAAAUUUUUGGCCAUCAUGGAGAAAUUAAGGCGAACAUAAUUUGUUCUAUUCUAUUCCAUAAUUUUUGUCUUCCAUCAUAAUCUUCAUCCAUGUAAUUUCUUUGUUUUCCUUUUUCUCUUCUGGUCUUCCAAGGAGAAGAUCUAGAUCUUUCUAUAUUCUAUCUUCUGGUUUUCUUGACACUUUCUCUUUCUUUCGUUUCCUUUGUCUGUUUUCUCUCUCAUUUGUAAUUAGAUGAUGUGCUUUUGUUCUAAGACUUGGAUCAUCUUUCAUCUUCUACUACCACAGGACAUUGAGAAUACAAAUUCUCGGUCACGGCCAUUGGUCGAAUUAUAACUGUGUGGACUCUUCAAACAAUUGGAAUAGCAACAAAA
Long non-coding RNA from Panonychus citri (citrus red mite), 756 nucleotides. RefSeq lists it as uncharacterized. Lineage: Eukaryota; Metazoa; Arthropoda; Arachnida; Trombidiformes; Tetranychidae. The record is from RefSeq and is a predicted model, not a curated record. The transcript has 3 exons.